This 499-nucleotide ribosomal RNA is filed under the name Sticta aff. parvilobata. RNAcentral describes it as "partial 28S ribosomal RNA". It matches the Rfam family "Eukaryotic large subunit ribosomal RNA", at positions 133 to 646 of the family's 3401-position model. The record is from RNAcentral. Lineage: Eukaryota; Fungi; Ascomycota; Lecanoromycetes; Peltigerales; Lobariaceae.
GGGGCCCGAGUUGUAAUUUGCAGAGGGUGUUUCGGGCGCGAUGCCGGUCUAAGUUCCUUGGAACAGGACGUCGUAGAGGGUGAGAAUCCCGUAUGCGACCGGCGGUCAAGUCCGUGCGAAGCCCCUUCGACGAGUCGAGUUGUUUGGGAAUGCAGCUCAAAAUGGGUGGUAAAUUUCAUCUAAAGCUAAAUACCGGCCAGAGACCGAUAGCGGACAAGUAGAGUGAUCGAAAGAUGAAAAGCACUUUGGAAAGAGAGUCAAACAGUACGUGAAAUUGUUGAAAGGGAAGCGCUUGCGAUCAGACCGGUCCGCCGGCGAUCAGCCGCUGCUCGUCAGCGGUGCACUCGCCGGCGAUCCGGCCAGCAUCGGUUCAGGCGGCGGGACAAAAACCUCGGGAAUGUAGCUUCUCUCGGGGAGUCUUAUAGCCCGGGGCAUCAUGCCGCCCGCCCGGACCGAGGACCGCGCUUCGGCUAGGAUGCUGGCGUAAUGGUCGCAAGCG